Molecule: unclassified non-coding RNA, 431 nt
Filed under: Melitaea cinxia (Glanville fritillary)
Lineage: Eukaryota; Metazoa; Arthropoda; Insecta; Lepidoptera; Nymphalidae
Description: misc RNA ENSMCXG00005000412.1
Source: RNAcentral
UUUGCUCGCAAACGAAAAAAACCCGACUUCAAUUACAUCGACAAGUAAUACAACGUAGAUCGACGAAAAAAUAGUCAAGCAACUACGCGUUAUCAAAGAUUACUCAAAAAGUAGUGAUCAGAUCUCGAUAAAAUUUAUAUGUGACCACAUGAUAAACAUCAGCUUUCGAUUAAAUUAAAAAUUAUCAAAAUCGGUACAUCCAGUAGAAAGUUAUGCGGUAUAAUACAACGUAGGUCGACGAAAAAAGCGUCAAGUAAAAACGCAUUAUUAGAUAUAACUCGAAAAGUAGUUGUUAGAUCUCAAAUAAAUUAAAAUGGGACCAAUUGGCACACACCACCUUUCGAUUAAAACAAAAUUUGUCGAAAUCGGUCUACCCGGUCAAAAGUUCUGAUGUAACAUACAUAAAAAAAAAAAAAAAAAAAAAAAAAAAA